This 224-nucleotide ribosomal RNA is filed under the name uncultured fungus. RNAcentral's name for it is "partial small subunit ribosomal RNA". The stretch from base 56 to 224 matches the Rfam family "Eukaryotic small subunit ribosomal RNA", at positions 694 to 864 of the family's 1831-position model. Lineage: Eukaryota; Fungi. The record is from RNAcentral.
GGUACGGCGCGCUUGGCCCGCCAGGGUUACCUGGUUGUGUGCUGGUGCGCGCCUGCCAUCCUUCUGCAUUCCCAGUUCUAUCCUUUACUGGUGUGAACUGGUUUGCAGAUCUUUUACUUUGAAAAAAUUAGAGUGUUUAAAGCAGGCUUGCGCUAUGAAUACAUUAGCAUGGAAUAAUAAUUUAGGACUUUGGUUCUAUUUUGUUGGUUUCUAGGACUAAAGUA